AAUUAAAUUAAAUGUUUGGUAUCCUAGUUAUAGUAACAAGCUGAGAGAAGGCUUGGUCACUAAAAGAGACAGAUUGUAACUGGAGGUUAUGGAUAGUAAUUGGUUAAAUUCUUUAAUUCAAAACAGAGAAAAAUAUACAGCGCCCUCCAGGGAAUAGACAGUGAAAACUGGUCCGGGUGUUGCCAGCUAACUACAGUUCAAAGAGCGCUUUAUCCCCAGAGCCUCUCUUGUAACACAUUUGGUCUCAAAGCAUCCUGUAUGAUUGAUGGGAAAUAUCCAAGGAGAAUGAGAGAGGUGGGAAGAGGAAACAGACUCACUCUGAGAGAGACGUUAUGGGCCUGCAUUCGCUGGAGCUUACAAGAAUGAGGAGGGACUUAAUGAAACUUUAUUGAGUAUUGAAAGACCAAGAUGGAAAGGAUGUUUCCUAUAGUGGAUAUGGUUCUGCUAUGGUUAGAGCCUGCAAUCUGCAUUCUGGCAGCAUGACUUUGGGCCGAUCGGGCGCUCUGGUGCUUUGCUGUCUCCAAGAGUUUUCCACGAGGCUGCAACCAAAGUGGGGACACGGAGGUCAAGAAGGCAGGAGAUGGGGUGCAAGCACAUGGACGACUCCCUCUCUCACCGAUCUCGCUGACUAAAGCGCCAAGGGAGACUGAAAUCAUCGAGGCGAGUGUGGAAGGCCAGUGAGUGUUCAGUGUCACCUACCGGCCUCUCGUUUGCUGCUGCUGGAGAAGGUGUCAGUGUAUGGCGGUCCCUUACACUCUUUCACUCACUACUCCCAAGGGAAGGUCCUUACAUUUGAAUCUCUCUCUCUCUCUUCCGCUGGAGCAAUGUUUAAUUGAUGCAGAUUGUAGACUUGGACUCUAAUUCAGAUUUAUAAUGUGUUCUAGUUUCUCGUUCUAGUCCAGGUUGCCCUUUUUGGUUACUACUUUUGGGUGAUAUUUGACUUAGGGUGGCCAGCAGAUAAUGAGCAUUGAGCUGAACUGAACUGAAGAAUCCCUUUAGAUUUUGUGUUUUUUAUUCUGUGUUUUCAUUCUUUUUUUGUUGCCAUUUGUGUGGUUUUUUUUUGCAUCUUGGGGGAGGAGGGGUUUGUUGCUUGAUGGCUUCCUUUGAACAGGUUGAUUCCAUGGUUCUGCUUUGCUUCAUUGACUGUCUAUGGUGAAGAUGAAUCUCAGGGAUGCAUACAGCAUAUAUACCUUGAUAAUGUACAUUGAGUCUGCUUGGGUAUCCUACAACCCAAUAGCAUGAACAUUGAAUUUUCCACUUUCAGGUCACCCACACACCCUGCGAUCUUCUACCGCUCCUAAUGAUCCAAUUAGUUUUCUCUGUUCAACCUGUCCAUUCCAGUCCCAUCUCCUACCCACACUCCACUCCUUAGAUUCAUCACCCUUCCCCUGCAAGUCCCAUCAGCCCAAUACCUACACAAUAUCCACCUACUUUUCCCUUCCUAUCUCCUGGAACAUCUGGUUUCAUCUGCCCAUCAUCCUUCCCAUAUACUGUAUGGCUCCACUUGCCAUCUUCCAGCCUCUCUCUCCUUCCCCCCACCAUUCUCCCCACUUGGCUCCCUCUGCCAUUUCCCUAUUCUCCCCCCCCCCAUCAUGUUCCCCCUUACCAACCACCCGCCAGCCUCUGUCUUUAAACUCCAGGCCCACACCCCAUUCUGGAUCCACCUGCCCAUCAUCUAAAACCUCACUAGUUUCCAUCUUUCCCUAUCUCACCCCUCCUUCUCACCUCUUUAUCCCAGCUAUCCUCUAUCCACAGUCCGUCCUGAGGCAGGGUCCUGACUCCAAGUGUCGACCACUCCUCAGCCUCACAGAUGCUGCUUGACCUCUUAAGUUCCUCCAGCAGUUUGUUCUGUGUCCCAGAUUCCAGCAUCUGCAAACUCUGCAGUCUUUUUCUCGAGGGCAGUGCCUUAAUGUAACCUUUUGCUUGAAAAGACAGAGUUAAUUGGCGGAAUGCUGAGAAAAUGCUGAUCUUCGGUGCAGGGAAGUUUUCAGGGCUGGAGAGAAAGCAAACGCAAUGCAAACAACAUAGAAGUGAUGCUCCUGAGAUAUUUACCUUGGACAGGCGGAAUACCGUCUAUCUGACAUCAGCUUUAUCUUAGGAAAAGAAUGCGGAUGAUGGGUGAAUUGAACUAGGUGAAUGAAGGCUUCGCUGCAAAUCAGUCAGAAGUUAAUCAUAACAUUAAAACAAUUCAUAUGACCUAAGUUACUCAUGAUUACUUCCCUGUUGAAAAGCAAUAAUUUAUGCCAAUGAUCAUGUGGUUGGUAAUAUUCUGGAGACUGUUUAUAAAUUCACUAUUCUGGUUCUCUGGCUACUUCUGGUGAUACUAUCUAGUAAGAUAGUGUGGGGAGCUUAGUCACAGUGGCCUCUCAUUUCAACAAGUGGUUGAAAUGUUUGUCUUGUCUUUUACAUUUUUCUUACGAUUGCAAGACCCUGUUGGACAUUAAUAGUACAAAAUAGUGGCAGGCACAUCUAUAAGGGCCUCCUUACAUGGUCUUCUCUACUGUCAAGAUGAAGCCACACUCAGGUUGGAGGAACAACACCUUAUUUACCGGCUGGGUAGCCUCCAACCUGAUGGCGUGAACAUUGACUUCUCUAACUUCCGUUAAUGCCCCUCCUCCCCUUCUUAACCCAUCCCUGAUAUAUUUUGUUUUUCUCCCCUCCUCUUUUUUCUCUCUUUCUGCCCUUCACUCUGCCUGUUCUCCAUCUGCCUCUGGUGCUUCCAUCCCCCUUUCUUUCUCCCUAGGCCUCCCCUCCCAUGAUCCUUUCUCUUCUCCACCUCUCUAUCCCUUUUGCCAAUCACCUUUCCAGCUCUUAGCUUCACCCCACCCCCUCCGGUCUUCUCCUAUCAUUUGGCAUUUCCCCCUCCCCCUCCUGCUUUCAAAUCUCUUACUAUCUUUCCUUUCAGUUAGUCCUGAUGAAGGGUCUCGACCCAUCUUCUCCCUAUAGAUGCUGCCUGGCCUGCUGUGUUCCACCAGUAUUUUGUGUGUGUUGCUUGAAUUUCCAGCAUCUGCAGAUUUCUUCGUGUUGACAUCUAUAAGGACCACUGUCGCCAGAAAGCAGCAUCUGUAAUCAAGGACCCCACCAUCCAGCUCAUACUCUCUUCUUGCUGCUGCCAUCAGGAAGGAGGUACAGGAGCCUCAAGACUCACACCACCAAGUUCAGGAACAGUUAUUACCCCUCAACAUCAGUUUCCUGAACUAGCAUGGAUAACAUCGCUCACACCAACACUGAACUGAUUCCACAACCUAUGGACUCACUCUCAAUGACUCUAUAUCUCAUGUUCUCGAUAUUUAUUGCUUAUUUACUUAUCAUUAUUAUUUUGAUGUUUUUCUUUCUUUUUAUAUUUGCACAGUUUGUGGUCUUUUACACAUUGGUUGCUUGUUUGUCUUUGUUGUGUGUGGUUUCUCAUUGAUUCUCUUGUGUUUCUUUGUAUCUACUGUGAUUGUCCACAAAAGAAAAUGAAUCUCAGGGUAGUAUAUGGUGACAUAUACGUACUUUGAUAAUAAAAUUUACUUUGAACUUUGAACUCAGUGACUUGCGGUAAUAUUAUUUUGUGCCAGCAUGUGUUGGAUUGUAACCAUACAGCACUGUGCAAAGGUCUUGGGCACGUCUAGAUAGCUAGGGUGGCUGAGAUCUUUGUGCAGUAUCGUAUACGUCAAGGUGGAGCGGAGAGAAAAGUUGUAAAUCUGGCGGGAGCAAAGGAGGUUGGGAAUGGUGAGGGUAGAGCACCACAGGACGGUUGUGGGACAGGUGGUUGAUGAGUGGCGGGGGUGGGGGGUGGUGUGGGUGCAGACACCCCGUUUUGAGACGUAAGGCUAGGUCAUUUGAUUCCAAGCAACUGGUUUAUUGAUCGUUACGGAAUAUCUCUGUGGUGCUCCCCACUCCCUCCCCCUUUUCACCACCGUGAUUCCACUCUCCCUGCCCCCUUCCCACUCUCAGUCCACAAUAGAGACCCAUAAUCAGAAUCAGGUUUAUCAUCACUCACAUAUGUCAUGAAAUUUGUACAGAGCAGUACAUAAAAUUACUACAGCACUGCACAAAAAUGUUAGUCACCCCAGCUAUAUAUGUGUGCCUCAGGCUUUUGCGCAAUACUGCAAGUACUGUUUUGCACCUUGGCCCCAGAGGAACGAUGCAUUGUUCAACUGUUUGCUUCUGUAUGAUUGAGUGGCAAUAAACUUGAACUGAUCUGAUUUUAUCUGAUGUCGAAAAAUUUCCCAAAUCAAAUGGUGGUAAAAUUGAAGUGUUUCAGUUCCUGCCACAGACACAGCUAUUAUUUCCACCCCUGUCCCAGGCCACAAACCUCGGGUCGUACUUUACUGCAAGGUAAGCUGUGGACCAUACAUCUCGAUCGUCACUAAGAGCAUUUGCUUCUAUCGUGCACAGCUCUCCUCUGGCCUCAGUUCAUCUGCUGUUGAAGCUACAGCUGUGCCUGCUUUCCAUUACGUCAGCUUCCCUCAAUUAAACAUAAUGACAUCUAAAACUCUGCUGGCUACAUCCAAACCCACACAA
Molecule: long non-coding RNA, 4509 nt
Organism: Hypanus sabinus (Atlantic stingray)
Lineage: Eukaryota; Metazoa; Chordata; Chondrichthyes; Myliobatiformes; Dasyatidae
Exons: 3
Source: RefSeq, a predicted model, not a curated record